UAAAGUCUGGCCUGCCCACUGACAAGAAGUUAAAGAGCCGCGGUAUUUUGACCGUGCAAAGGUAGCAUAAUCAUUAGUUUCUUAAUUAGAAACUCGUAUGAAUGGUUGAACAAAAGAAAAGCUGUCUCUGAUGUAGAAAUAGAAUUUAACUUUUAAGUGAAAAGGCUUAAAUCAUUCAAGG
Molecule: ribosomal RNA, 181 nt
Filed under: Cancer pagurus (edible crab)
Lineage: Eukaryota; Metazoa; Arthropoda; Malacostraca; Decapoda; Cancridae
Description: partial 16S ribosomal RNA
Rfam family: Archaeal large subunit ribosomal RNA
Source: RNAcentral